AACGAACGCUGGCGGCGCGCUUAAUACAUGCAAGUCGAACGAGAAGGUGUAGCAAUACACUUGUAAAGUGGCGAACGGGUGAGGAAUACAUGGGUAACCUACCCUCGAGUGGGGAACAACCAGCCGAAAGGUUGGCUAAUACCGCGUACGCUUCCGGGUCUUCGGAUUCGGAAGGAAAGUCAUACCGUGGGUAUCGCGCUCUUGGAUGGGCUCAUGUCCUAUCAGCUUGUUGGUGAGGAACGGCUCACCAAGGCUUCGACGGGUAGCUGGUCUGAGAGGACGAUCAGCCACACUGGCACUGCGACACGGGCCAGACUCCUACGGGAGGCAGCAGUAAGGAUAUUGCGCAAUGGGCGAAAGCCUGACGCAGCGACGCCGCGUGGGGGAUGAAGGUCUUCGGAUUUGUAAACCUUCUUUCAGCUCCGACGAAGCGAGAGUGACGGUAGGAGCAGAAGAAGCACCGGCCAACUACGU
Molecule: ribosomal RNA, 474 nt
Filed under: uncultured bacterium
Lineage: Bacteria
Description: bacterial SSU rRNA
Rfam family: Bacterial small subunit ribosomal RNA
Source: RNAcentral